CAGCAACCUGGCAUCCAAGCCUCAUAUCCAUCUACACCACAGCUCACAGUGGCAAUGCCAGAUCCCCAACCCACUGAGGAAGGCCAGGGAUCGAACCUGCAUCCUCAUGGAUAAGAGUCAGAUCCGUUUCUGCUGUGCCGCAAUGGGAACUCCGAGACCCUGCAUAAUUUAUUUUUCACUCGAUUUGGAUUUUUUUAAGGUGUUAAAAAGAAAAACCCUAGGUGAAUAUUACAGAUCAUAUCACUGAUGCCCAAGAUAAAUCUGAGACUCUGAUUCUUUCCUUUUUUUUUUCCCCUUUUUUUUUUCCUUUUUGGCCACCCAGAGCCAUAACUGAUUAUUUAUCUAAUCGCAAACAUUAUCAAUCUAUGCAGUAGCAGAUCAACUGUCAAUCUUGAUCACCCACACACACCUGGAAGUGGUACCAGAAGUAAGAGAGUGUCGGGUAUGAGAAUGAAAAUUUAUCUUUCAGAAUUGCUCUUAACAGAAGGGAGAAAAUCUUCAGAAGUCAUCUUCAUAGAUUUUAUUCCUAAAUAUAGAUGCUUUUAAAUUGCUUGAAGAAACCCCUUCAGAAUAUUUGGAGAAGAAUCAACAGGACAGUGAGUCAGACUCCUUCAGCUGUUUCUACUUCUAAAACUCCUAAUUUUGCAAAGUACAUUGGCUGUUUUGGGCUAUUGCUGCAGUGACCUAGUCUGAAUGCUACGCUGGCCAGCUUGCUCCAAGAAUUAAUGGACUUCAAGCCUGGAUAAUGUGUCCCAGAGAAGGUAAAGGAGAAAAAGCACCUUGCUAUACUCGCUUUGCACUUAUUAUUCCACUCCCAUGAAGAUUCCAGGAAGCCACUGGAGCUUCUCUUAUUCUUGACAGUGAAAGUGAGUUGGGAAUGUGGAAGGAUUAACAAGUCCUAGAGACUGAACCUCAGCACCUCUGAAUCCAGUAAAAUCGUUAGCCGUCCCCAUUCCCUGAAGACUGUCUCUAAGUGAUUUUGCCAAAACAAGUCUCUCUACCAGUAGGAGAUUGUCAAGGCUCCAAUUAGUAAAUCCCUAAGCCCCAAAGUCAAUUAUGUGGGUAUGAAAAGUGCUGGAAAACUCUCAUUCCUGGGAAAAGAAAGAAUCAGAUAGGCCAUUAGCCCCACUGGGUGCAUAGAAGGGUUAGAAUCCACCACAAAAAGCAAUGUUCAUGCUUCUACUGAAAUGGAAUAAAGAUGACUGGAUGACUAUACUGUUAGAUCCG
RNAcentral lists this long non-coding RNA (1227 nucleotides) under Sus scrofa (pig). RNAcentral's name for it is "lncRNA (ENSSSCG00015042503.1)". Lineage: Eukaryota; Metazoa; Chordata; Mammalia; Artiodactyla; Suidae. The record is from RNAcentral.